UGGGGAAUUUUGGACAAUGGGGGCAACCCUGAUCCAGCAAUGCCGCGUGAGUGAAGAAGGCCUUCGGGUUGUAAAGCUCUUUUGUCAGGGAAGAAACGGUAGUAGCGAAUAACUAUUACUAAUGACGGUACCUGAAGAAUAAGCACCGGCUAACUACGUGCCAGCAGCCGCGGUAAUACGUAGGGUGCAAGCGUUAAUCGGAAUUACUGAGCGUAAAGCGUGCGCAGGCGGUUGUGUAAGUCAGAUGUGAAAUCCCCGGGCUCAACCUGGGAAUUGCAUUUGAGACUGCACGGCUAGAGUGUGUCAGAGGGGGGUAGAAUUCCACGUGUAGCAGUGAAAUGCGUAGAUAUGUGGAGGAAUACCGAUGGCGAAGGCAGCCCCCUGGGAUAACACUGACGCUCAUGCACGAAAGCGUGGGGAGCAAACAGGAUUAGAUACCCUUGUAGUCCCUGAGCGGGCUGGCAAGGCGCAU
RNAcentral lists this ribosomal RNA (472 nucleotides) under uncultured bacterium. Its description in RNAcentral is "bacterial SSU rRNA". It matches the Rfam family "Bacterial small subunit ribosomal RNA", at positions 355 to 825 of the family's 1533-position model. The record is from RNAcentral.